This 279-nucleotide ribosomal RNA is filed under the name uncultured bacterium. RNAcentral's name for it is "partial 16S ribosomal RNA". It matches the Rfam family "Bacterial small subunit ribosomal RNA", at positions 506 to 784 of the family's 1533-position model. The record is from RNAcentral.
UGCCAGCCGCCGCGGUAACACGGGGGGCGCAAGCGUUAUUCGGAAUUAUUGGGCGUAAAGGGCGCGCAGGCGGUCUUGUCAGUCAGGUGUGAAAGCCCUGGGCUUAACCUGGGAAUGGCAUUCGAUACUGGUGGGCUAGAGUCUGAUAGAGGGUAGCGGAAUUCCGGGUGUAGCGGUGAAAUGCGUAGAGAUCCGGAGGAACAUCUGUGGCGAAGGCGGCUACCUGGAUUAAGACUGACGCUGAGGUGCGAAAGCGUGGGGAGCAAACAGGAUUAGAUA